AUUUUAUGAUGAUGAUUAGGAACAAAAAAAAUUCAUUAAAGAGGAAGAUUGAUUUUCACCACUACAGUGAAUGAAAAUAUAAACAGGGUGGUCAGGCAAUCCCAUGCAGGGUUAUCCAAUUUUCACCAAUUCUCACAGCGUUUACUAUUGCCAGUCAUGAUCCUACCAACUAAACUAUUUGAAUUUGGUCACUAACCCAACCAAGCCAGACAGCCAUAUUUUACCAUCAUCCGCAUCCACCAAGCAAUAUACAAACUCUACAAAAGGUUAUUGCCUAAGGCUGCUAUUGAACUUCCUUCCUACCUGUCAGCUGCUUCCCAAGAAGUUGGGAUGGCCAUGAAUCUGCAGGUGUUGGAUAUCUAGCAUGUGGUUUACUCACAUUUGAGGUAGUCACUGGAUAAGCUUGGAGUUCAGGAUGGAGGGGGACAACAAAGACGGCUUGUGCUUGCUGCAAGGUAGCAUCUGCUGCAGGCAACCUGAGAGACUCUCCUGGAAAAUGUUGUGUCAAUUCGGGAUGGUCAAACUCGGGAGGAGGCACAUUCAGGUCAGGUUUUGAUUGAGACACCCUUGCUUCCAGCUCUCCUUGCAAUCCCUUAAUUUGAGUUUCUAGGGCAGAGUUUUCUUCCUUCAGCUCAUUCUUCUCAAUUGUUACAUAGCGAGAUUCAGAUAAUAGAGAUUCAUUCUCCUUGUUGAGGCCGUCAAUCUGUCCAAUCAAGUCCUUCAACAAUCUAGCAGCUUCAGACAAUAUGGAGGCCUUCCCAUUAUUUGGCUGAGUCAGUUCAAGAGCACUGGCUAGCUCAAGGAAGAGCUCAUUUAAUUGCUCACGCUUCAGUUUUUCCCUCUCAGCCUUGUGAAUUCUUUUGGGAACUUUCCCUUUAUUCUUACCAUGGCAACACCUGCAUCACAGAGAUAUUUAAAUCAAGAAACAAAUCUAAAAUAUUCAUUGUCAUCCAGAUUACAGUUGAUCCAAAUUAGCGCAAGUCCCUUUUUCUCUCCCUUUUUAAGGUUGAGGUUAUUCAAAAAUUCACUUAAAUCUGGUACAGCUCAUGAAAUUCAGGAACUCAUACAUCAUAUGCACAUAUGUUUCAGCCACAACUUAUUGUUACUGAAUAACCAGGUCACAAGAAGCACCAUAAGCAAAUUGGAUUUCGCAGUCAAUGCAUCCAAAACGGCCAACAUUAACAAACAAUAGCUGCAACAUAUCAUAUGUUGAAUUAGGUGAUUAAACAUAACUAGACGAAACCACAAAACAAAUUAUGGAGGGUUGUAGCCCCUACUAGAGACAACUAGUAUUACUGAAUCCAUUGAGGUAGGAUCCCUGGAGAAGGAAUUUGGAAGCAAUCCUACCCUUCAGCGCUUUUUCAUUAAGUGGUUUUUCUCAAGACUUGAAUGCUCACCUUUGUAGCCUAAGAUUUUUACUAAUGCACUAGGCAAUGGCCCGAUGCCUUCUGCUUCCUACUAUGCUAACAAUAUUCAAAACAUAGCCCCUAACAAAUCAUACAAACUGUAACUACACGUCUCAGGUCAUGUUGCUAUUUGUUAUCCAUCAAUUUUAAUUCCAAGCAAUUCCAAGAAUUGAGAUAUACCCCAGCAAAAUGCAAUGUGUUAACCGACUAAAAAAUGCAGCCAAAACAAUCCAAAUUCAAAAAUUAAGAUUCUUUACUCACUGACCUUUUCUCAGUAGUCUCUGCUGCUACAUUCACCUCAUCAGCCGCGGAAGGAGGACACUCAGAACCCAUGCUUAUCCCAAUGAAUUGAAUCUAUCAAAUUAGACACCUGAAAAGCCAAAAAAUAAACACAUCAAUUUCCUUGCCGAAACCCACAAAAUUCAGCUACUAAGAAGCAAAUGAAAAAGGAAGCAAACACGAUUAUGAAUUAGCAUAUGUGCGCUUCACUUUGCACUAGCAGCAAAUUUUGAUAACAAUUCCGCAAAAAAAAAAACGCUUUCACCACUUUCUCAGCAACCAAACAAAUUCUCACAGAUAACCAAAACCGAAUAGCAGAAUCAAACACCAAAAGCCAAGAGAACAACAAAGGAGAAUUCCCAAAUUGGGCAAUAAAAAGUUUUAAGUAGAAAAGAUUACCUUGAAAGGCAAAGUAGGCCAAAGAACUUAAAAGAGAGAAUAAUUAGAUUUAAAGAAGGAGAAAUCUGGGAGAUUUAUGAGGCAAAAUCUAAAGGAUUUUGAGAUUGAAAAUUAGGAUUAAGAUGCGAAAACCUAGUAGUUAAUUUUGUAAGGGGUCGAUGGAGAGUGCGUGUGUGUGGGGG
Molecule: unclassified non-coding RNA, 2266 nt
Filed under: Hevea brasiliensis (rubber tree)
Lineage: Eukaryota; Viridiplantae; Streptophyta; Magnoliopsida; Malpighiales; Euphorbiaceae
Source: RNAcentral